GGGGUUGUGGCUCAGAGGUAGAGCACUUGCCUGGCAUGUAUGAGGCACUGGAUUCAAUCCUCAACACCA
RNAcentral lists this transfer RNA (69 nucleotides) under Marmota marmota marmota (Alpine marmot). It matches the Rfam family "tRNA". From Rfam's summary of the family: Transfer RNA (tRNA) molecules are approximately 80 nucleotides in length. Lineage: Eukaryota; Metazoa; Chordata; Mammalia; Rodentia; Sciuridae. The record is from Rfam by way of RNAcentral. RNAcentral also lists the same sequence under 1 other name.